Ribosomal RNA from Megasphaera micronuciformis F0359, 117 nucleotides. NCBI's taxonomy places the organism in Bacteria, Bacillati, Bacillota, Negativicutes, Veillonellales, Veillonellaceae. The record is from Rfam.
UUCAGUGGUGAUGGCUGUAGGGGUCCACCUGUUCCCAUACCGAACACAGCAGUUAAGCCUACAAACGCCGAAAGUACUUAGGGGGAGGCCCCUUGGGAGGAUAGGAAGCCGCUGAUU